GACGAACGCUGGCGGCGUGCUUAACACAUGCAAGUCGAACGGAAAGGCCCUGCUUUUGUGGGGUGCUCGAGUGGCGAACGGGUGAGUAACACGUGAGUAACCUGCCCUUGACUUUGGGAUAACUUCAGGAAACUGGGGCUAAUACCGGAUAGGAGCUCCUGCUGCAUGGUGGGGGUUGGAAAGUUUCGGCGGUUGGGGAUGGACUCGCGGCUUAUCAGCUUGUUGGUGGGGUAGUGGCUUACCAAGGCUUUGACGGGUAGCCGGCCUGAGAGGGUGACCGGCCACAGUGGGACUGAGAUACGGCCCAGACUCCUACGGGAGGCAGCAGUGGGGAAUCUUGCACGAUGGGCGGAAGCAUGAUGCAGCAACGCCGCGUGCGGGAUGACGGCCUUCGGAUUGUAAACCGCUUUCGCCUGUGACGAAGCGUGAGUGACGGUAAUGGGUAAAGAAGCGCCAGCUAACUACGUG
Molecule: ribosomal RNA, 468 nt
Filed under: uncultured bacterium
Lineage: Bacteria
Description: partial 16S ribosomal RNA
Rfam family: Bacterial small subunit ribosomal RNA
Source: RNAcentral